AGUGAACGCUGGCGGUAGGCCUAACACAUGCAAGUCGAACGGCAGCACAGUAAGAGCUUGCUCUUACGGGUGGCGAGUGGCGGACGGGUGAGGAAUACAUCGGAAUCUACUUUUUCGUGGGGGAUAACGUAGGGGAACUUACGCUAAUACCGCAUACGACCUACGGGUGAAAGCAGGGGAUCUUCGGACCUUGCGCGAUUGAAUGAGCCGAUGUCGGAUUAGCUAGUUGGCGGGGUAAAGGCCCACCAAGGCGACGAUCCGUAGCUGGUCUGAGAGGAUGAUCAGCCACACUGGAACUGAGACACGGUCCAGACUCCUACGGGAGGCAGCAGUGGGGAAUAUUGGACAAUGGGCGCAAGCCUGAUCCAGCAAUACCGCGUGGGUGAAGAAGGCCUUCGGGUUGUAAAGCCCUUUUGUUGGGAAAGAAAAGCAGCAGGUUAAUACCCCGCUGUUCUGACGGUACCCAAAGAAUAAGCACCGGCUAACUUCGUG
Molecule: ribosomal RNA, 492 nt
Filed under: uncultured bacterium
Lineage: Bacteria
Description: partial 16S ribosomal RNA
Rfam family: Bacterial small subunit ribosomal RNA
Source: RNAcentral